Molecule: ribosomal RNA, 253 nt
Filed under: uncultured bacterium
Lineage: Bacteria
Description: partial 16S ribosomal RNA
Rfam family: Bacterial small subunit ribosomal RNA
Source: RNAcentral
UACGUAGGGGGCGAGCGUUGUCCGGAUUUAUUGGGCGUAAAGAGCGUGUAGGCGGUUCGGUAAGUCUGUCGUGAAAUCCUGAGGCUCAACCUCGGGCGUGCGAUGGAUACUGCCGGGCUAGAGGGUGGUAGAGGCGAGUGGAAUUCCUGGUGUAGCGGUGAAAUGCGCAGAUAUCAGGAAGAACACCUAUGGCGAAGGCAGCACUCUGGGACGGUACUGACGCUGAGACGCGAAAGCGUGGGGAGCGAACAGG